Molecule: ribosomal RNA, 658 nt
Filed under: Bolbitius coprophilus
Lineage: Eukaryota; Fungi; Basidiomycota; Agaricomycetes; Agaricales; Bolbitiaceae
Description: eukaryotic LSU rRNA
Source: RNAcentral
CAUUACAGAAUAAACCUGGCUAGUUGUUGCUGGUUCUCUNGGGAGCAUGUGCACGCUGGUCACUUUUAUCUUACCACCUGUGAACCACUUGUAGAUCUGGAGGCAUUUUCACGGACUUUGUCUGUGGUUUUUGGGAGCUGCCGUGCCCUUUUACUAGGGUCGACUCUUCCUGGCCUUCAGGUCUAUGUCUUUACAUCUACUCCAUAGAAUGUAAANGAAAGAAACAAUGGCAGCUUUAUUGCAGCCUAUAAAACUUGUACAACUUUCAGCAACGGAUCUCUUGGCUCUCGCAUCGAUGAAGAACGCAGCGAAAUGCGAUAAGUAAUGUGAAUUGCAGAAUUCAGUGAAUCAUCGAAUCUUUGAACGCACCUUGCGCUCCUUGGUAUUCCGAGGAGCAUGCCUGUUUGAGUGUCAUUAAAUUCUCAACCAUCUUUGUCUUUUUGAUAACKGAUGCGUUGGAUGUGGGGACUUGCCAUUUCUUUAAAAGANUUGGCUUCCCUUAAAUGCAUUAGCUAGAGCACUUCUACUAGCUGCUAGUGUGAUAAUUAUCUACACUGCGGCCAACGAAGAAAACUCUGCUUCUAACCGUCUGCUYGCAGACAAUAUCUGACAUCUUGACCUCAAAUCAGGUAGGACUACCCGCUGAACUUAAGCAUAU